GACGAACGCUGGCGGCGUGCUUAACACAUGCAAGUCGAACGGUGAAGCGCCUUCCUUUUUGGUGGGUGUGGAUGAGUGGCGAACGGGUGAGUAAUACGUGAGUAACCUGCCCCCUUCUUCUGGAUAACCGCAUGAAAGUGUGGCUAAUACGGGAUAUUCUGGGUCUGUCGCAUGAUGGGUCUGGGAAAGAUAUUGUUUCGGUGGGGGAUGGGCUCGCGGCCUAUCAGCUUGUUGGUGGGGUGAUGGCCUACCAAGGCGGUGACGGGUAGCCGGCCUGAGAGGGUGGACGGUCACACUGGGACUGAGACACGGCCCAGACUCCUACGGGAGGCAGCAGUGGGGAAUAUUGCACAAUGGGCGCAAGCCUGAUGCAGCGACGCCGCGUGAGGGAUGGAGGCCUUCGGGUUGUGAACCUCUUUCGCCAGUGAAGCAGGCCUGCCUCGUUUGUGGGUGGGUUGACGGUAGCUGGAUAAGAAGCGCCGGCUAACUACGUG
Molecule: ribosomal RNA, 494 nt
Filed under: uncultured bacterium
Lineage: Bacteria
Description: partial 16S ribosomal RNA
Rfam family: Bacterial small subunit ribosomal RNA
Source: RNAcentral